This 497-nucleotide ribosomal RNA is filed under the name uncultured bacterium. RNAcentral's name for it is "partial 16S ribosomal RNA". It matches the Rfam family "Bacterial small subunit ribosomal RNA", at positions 28 to 507 of the family's 1533-position model. The record is from RNAcentral.
GAUGAACGCUGGCGGCGUGCCUAAUACAUGCAAGUCGAGCGAACAGACGAGGAGCUUGCUCCUCUGACGUUAGCGGCGGACGGGUGAGUAACACGUGGAUAACCUACCUAUAAGACUGGGAUAACUUCGGGAAACCGGAGCUAAUACCGGAUAAUAUAUUGAACCGCAUGGUUCAAUAGUGAAAGACGGUUUUGCUGUCACUUAUAGAUGGAUCCGCGCCGCAUUAGCUAGUUGGUAAGGUAACGGCUUACCAAGGCAACGAUGCGUAGCCGACCUGAGAGGGUGAUCGGCCACACUGGAACUGAGACACGGUCCAGACUCCUACGGGAGGAAGCAGUAGGGAAUCUUCCGCAAUGGGCGAAAGCCUGACGGAGCAACGACGCGUGAGUGAUGAAGGUCUUCGGAUCGUAAAACUCUGUUAUUGGGGAAGAACAAAUGUGUAAGUAAAUAUGCACGUCUUGACGGUACCUAAUCAGAAAGCCACGGCUAACUACGUG